CCUGGCUCAGGAUGAACGCUAGCGACAGGCUUAACACAUGCAAGUCGAGGGGCAGCACAGGUAGCAAUACCGGGUGGCGACCGGCGCACGGGUGAGUAACGCGUAUGCAACUUGCCUAUCAGAGGGGGAUAACCCGGCGAAAGUCGGACUAAUACCGCAUGAAGCAGGGGCCCCGCAUGGGGAUAUUUGCUAAAGAUUCAUCGCUGAUAGAUAGGCAUGCGUUCCAUUAGGCAGUUGGCGGGGUAACGGCCCACCAAACCGACGAUGGAUAGGGGUUCUGAGAGGAAGGUCCCCCACAUUGGUACUGAGACACGGACCAAACUCCUACGGGAGGCAGCAGUGAGGAAUAUUGGUCAAUGGGCGUAAGCCUGAACCAGCCAAGUCGCGUGAGGGAUGAAGGUUCUAUGGAUCGUAAACCUCUUUUAUAAGGGAAUAAAGUGCGGGACGUGUCCCGUUUUGUAUGUACCUUAUGAAUAAGGAUCGGCUAACUCCGUGCCAGCAGCCGCGGUAAUACGGAGGAUCCGAGCGUUAUCCGGAUUUAUUGGGUUUAAAGGGUGCGUAGGCGGCCUUUUAAGUCAGCGGCGAAAGUCUGUGGCUCAACCAUAGAAUUGCCGUUGAAACUGGGGGGCUUGAGUAUGUUUGAGGCAGGCGGAAUGCGUGGUGUAGCGGUGAAAUGCAUAGAUAUCACGCAGAACCCCGAUUGCGAAGGCAGCCUGCCAAGCCAUGACUGACGCUGAUGCACGAAAGCGUGGGGAUCAAACAGGAUUAGAUACCCUGGUAGUCCACGCAGUAAACGAUGAUCACUAGCUGUUUGCGAUACACUGUAAGCGGCACAGCGAAAGCGUUAAGUGAUCCACCUGGGGAGUACGCCGGCAACGGUGAAACUCAAAGGAAUUGACGGGGGCCCGCACAAGCGGAGGAACAUGUGGUUUAAUUCGAUGAUACGCGAGGAACCUUACCCGGGUUUGAACGCAUUCGGACCGAGGUGGAAACACCUUUUCUAGCAAUAGCCGUUUGCGAGGUGCUGCAUGGUUGUCGUCAGCUCGUGCCGUGAGGUGUCGGCUUAAGUGCCAUAACGAGCGCAACCCUUGCCACUAGUUACUAACAGGUAAAGCUGAGGACUCUGGUGGGACUGCCAGCGUAAGCUGCGAGGAAGGCGGGGAUGACGUCAAAUCAGCACGGCCCUUACAUCCGGGGCGACACACGUGUUACAAUGGCGUGGACAAAGGGAAGCCACCUGGCGACAGGGAGCGGAUCCCCAAACCACGUCUCAGUUCGGAUCGGAGUCUGCAACCCGACUCCGUGAAGCUGGAUUCGCUAGUAAUCGCGCAUCAGCCAUGGCGCGGUGAAUACGUUCCCGGGCCUUGUACACACCGCCC
RNAcentral lists this ribosomal RNA (1379 nucleotides) under uncultured bacterium. Its description in RNAcentral is "bacterial SSU rRNA". It matches the Rfam family "Bacterial small subunit ribosomal RNA", at positions 18 to 1395 of the family's 1533-position model. The record is from RNAcentral.